This 495-nucleotide ribosomal RNA is filed under the name uncultured bacterium. Its description in RNAcentral is "partial 16S ribosomal RNA". It matches the Rfam family "Bacterial small subunit ribosomal RNA", at positions 28 to 507 of the family's 1533-position model. The record is from RNAcentral.
GACGAACGCUGGCGGCGUGCCUAAUACAUGCAAGUAGAACGCUGAAGGAGGAGCUUGCUUCUCCGGAUGAGUUGCGAACGGGUGAGUAACGCGUAGAUAACCUGCCUGGUAGCGGGGGAUAACUAUUGGAAACGAUAGCUAAUACCGCAUAAGAGUAGAUGUCGCAUGACAUUUGCUUAAAAGGUGCAACUGCACCACUACCAGAUGGACCUGCGUUGUAUUAGCUAGUUGGUGAGGUAACGGCUCACCAAGGCAACGAUACAUAGCCGACCUGAGAGGGUGAUCGGCCACACUGGGACUGAGACACGGCCCAGACUCCUACGGGAGGCAGCAGUAGGGAAUCUUCGGCAAUGGACGGAAGUCUGACCGAGCAACGCCGCGUGAGUGAAGAAGGUUUUCGGAUCGUAAAGCUCUGUUGUAAGAGAAGAACGAGUGUGAGAGUGGAAAGUUCACACUGUGACGGUAUCUUACCAGAAAGGGACGGCUAACUACGUG